AAUACGGAGGGUGCGAGCGUUAAUCGGAAUAACUGGGCGUAAAGGGCACGCAGGCGGUGACUUAAGUGAGGUGUGAAAGCCCCGGGCUUAACCUGGGAAUUGCAUUUCAUACUGGGUCGCUAGAGUACUUUAGGGAGGGGUAGAAUUCCACGUGUAGCGGUGAAAUGCGUAGAGAUGUGGAGGAAUACCGAAGGCGAAGGCAGCCCCUUGGGAAUGUACUGACGCUCAUGUGCGAAAGCGUGGGGAGCAAACAGGAUUAGAUACCCUGGUAGUCCACGCUGUAAACGAUGUCGAUUUGGGGGUUGAGCUUUGAGCUUGGCGCCCGUAGCUAACGUGAUAAAUCGACCGCCUGGGGAGUACGGCCGCAAGGUUAAAACUCAAAUGAAUUGACGGGGGCCCGCACAAGCGGUGGAGCAUGUGGUUUAAUUCGAUGCAACGCGAAGAACCUUACCUACUCUUGACAUCCAGAGAACAUUC
RNAcentral lists this ribosomal RNA (477 nucleotides) under uncultured bacterium. Its description in RNAcentral is "bacterial SSU rRNA". It matches the Rfam family "Bacterial small subunit ribosomal RNA", at positions 522 to 1000 of the family's 1533-position model. The record is from RNAcentral.